UAAGAAUACUAUAGAACUUUUUAAAGCUUCCACUGGUUAAGAAAAGAUGGAACAUCUUCAUAACCUGUCAGCAAAAGAUGGGACAUCUUUUUGGCGUCCGAGUUUCCACUAUAUCAGGGUGUCCCAAAAAACCCGAAAACUAUUGAAAUCACUUAUUGUUAAAAUUGAAUGCCCUACCAAAAAGCUGAACGUAAUGAUGCGUAAAAUAUUGACAAGGUGCAUGUAUUAAAAUUGAGUUAAGAACAUCUCCUUGUAAAGUGCGCGAUUUUCUGCUCAUGGGAAUUUAAAGCAGCUUCUUAAAUAGUUUCUUUAUGCAUAAAAUUUACUUAUGUCAAUCAUUUAUGCACUCGUGGGAACCAACAGAGUACUUAGGCAUUCAAAUUCUAACAAUUAAAUUGUUAUUGGUGAUUUCAAUAGUUUUCGGGUUUUUUGGGACACCCUGUUUAUUCAGAAAGUAUGUAAUGCGCUUAUAGGUAAUUUGCAAUGCGGCGCACUGCGCUCUCAUGCAAAGAACAAAUGAAUAAUAUAAAAGGUUCUUUUAUUAUACCAGCCACUGUAUACAUAAAUUCGUUCAUUUAUUAGCGAUUCUCAGCAGCCUUUCGCGCUCGUAUUCGACUUUUCCGCUUUGCUCGGGAGACAACCUUAAUUGAAAUAGCUGUAUAUAUAUGUAAAUAAAUAUUAUUUGUCUUGUGCUGCCAUGUGUCAAAAUAUAGAAAUGAGAAUAUUAUAAUGAAUAUAUUACAAUCAACUCGCGGUUGUGAUAGCUCUCGGC
This 772-nucleotide long non-coding RNA is filed under the name Paramuricea clavata. The record is from RNAcentral. Lineage: Eukaryota; Metazoa; Cnidaria; Anthozoa; Malacalcyonacea; Plexauridae.